UACGUAGGGUGCGAGCGUUGUCCGGAAUUAUUGGGCGUAAAGGGCUCGUAGGCGGUCUGUCGCGUCGGGAGUGAAAACUCAGGGCUUAACCCUGAGCCUGCUUCCGAUACGGGCAGACUAGAGGUAUGCAGGGGAGAACGGAAUUCCUGGUGUAGCGGUGGAAUGCGCAGAUAUCAGGAGGAACACCAGUGGCGAAGGCGCCGCUCUGGGCCGAGACUGACGCUGAGAAGCGAAAGCAUGGGGAGCGAACAGG
This 253-nucleotide ribosomal RNA is filed under the name uncultured bacterium. RNAcentral describes it as "partial 16S ribosomal RNA". It matches the Rfam family "Bacterial small subunit ribosomal RNA", at positions 524 to 776 of the family's 1533-position model. The record is from RNAcentral.